GUGCAGUGCCAGCGCGUCCCUGAGACACGAUGGUGAAGGUCUGAGUGAACGGAUUUGGCCGUAUUGGGCACCUGGUCACCAUGGCUGCUUUUAACUCUGGCAAAGUGGAUAUUGUCGCCAUCAAUGACCCCUUCAUUGACCUCAACUACAUGGUCUACAUGUUCCAGUAUGAUUCCACCCAUGGCAAAUUCCACGGCACAGUCAAGGCUGAGAACGGGAAGCUUGUCAUCAAUGGAAAGUCCAUCUCCAUCUUCCAGGAGCGAGAUCCCGCCAACAUCAAAUGGGGUGAUGCUGGUGCUGAGUAUGUUGUGGAGUCCACUGGGGUCUUCACCACCAUGGAGAAGGCUGGGGCCCACUUGAAGGGCGGGACCAAGAAGGUCAUCAUCUCUGCUCCUUCUGCUGAUGCCCCCAUGUUCGUGAUGGGUGUGAACCAUGAGAAGUAUGACAACUCCCUCAAGAUUGUCAGCAAUGCCUCCUGCACCACCAACUGCUUGGCUCCUCUGGCCAAGGUCAUCCAUGACAACUUCAGCAUCGUGGAGGGACUCAGGACCACCGUCCAUGCCAUCACUGCCACCCAGAAGACCGUGGACGGCCCCUCUGGGAAGCUGUGGCACGACUGCCGAGGGGCUGCCCAGAACAUCAUCCCUGCUUCCACUGGCGCUGCCAAGGCUGUGGGCAAGGUCAUCCCUGAGCUGAACGGGAAGCUCACUGCAUGGCCUUCCGUGUCCCCACCCCCAACGUGUUCAUCGUGGAUCUGACCUGCCGCCUGGAGAAGGCUGCGAAAUACGACGACAUCAAGAAGGUGGUGAAGCAGGCGUCAGAGGGCCCCCUCAAGGGCAUCCUGGGGUACACUGAGGGCCAGGUUGUCUCCUGCGACUUUAACAGUGACACCCACUCCUCCACCUUCGAUGCCGGGGCUGGCAUUGCUCUCAACGACCACUUUGUCAAACUCAUUUCCUGGUAUGACAAUGAAUUCGGCUACAGCAACCGGGUGGUGGACCUUAUGGUCCACAUGGCCUCCAAGGAGUAAGAGCUCCCUGGACUACCAGCCCCAGCGAGAGCAAGAGGAAGAGAGAGGCCCUCAGCUGCUGGGGAGUCCCUGCCCCAACUUAUCCCCCAAAACACUGAGAAUCUCCCGAUCUCCACCGUUUCCAUCCCAGACCCCCUGAAGAAGGGGAGGGGCUUGGGGAGCCCUACCUUGUCAUGUACCAUCAAUAAACUAUACUGUACCCAGCCAAAAAAGAAAACAAAAAUUAGUUAAAAAGAUGGGCCAGUCUCUGGAUACUCAGGCCCUAAUCCAGUUCUUUGGGAAGUAGACACAACCGUCUUUGUCUUCCAAAUCUCUACAAAACCAGAAAUGCGGCCCUGAGAUCAAGUCCAAGCCCACAGGCC
This is an RNA transcript of Zalophus californianus (California sea lion), 1392 nucleotides long. It is a transcript of the gene named glyceraldehyde-3-phosphate dehydrogenase-like, with no coding region annotated. NCBI's taxonomy places the organism in Eukaryota, Metazoa, Chordata, Mammalia, Carnivora, Otariidae. The transcript has a single exon. The record is from RefSeq and is a predicted model, not a curated record.